GGCCUGGAGCGGGAAGGAGGGGACAGCGGGUCACGGGGCGGCGACACAGCCGGCAGGGCUGGAGGAGGGCGCCGGGGCUCAGGAGUUUAUUCCCCAUUGAACGCGACAAAACGGCUCCCGAGCUAUCCCUGGCACAGGGUACGAGCCAUCCCCAAGGGGGACAAGCCGGCGCAGGUUCGAAGGGAGCCGAGGUGCCGGCAGUGCUGUCUGUGCCGGGGAAACCCCCGCAGCUCCCGGGCUGUGCCCUCCCUGUCCCUGCCAGACAAAGGCUCAGCCACGAACUCGCGUACGGAGCCGAACAAGGGGCUCCUUUCUGCAGGCUCAAUCCUCCUUCUCUAUCACGCCGUGAGCAGCCCCUCCAAAACCCUCUUGGCCGGCUGCUGCCGCCGCCGAGGCAGCCGGGAAGCGACUGUUCCACAGCCUGACGGGCACCCCGGGGACCGUCCCCCCCACCCCGAGCGGCAGCAUCCCUCAGGGAAGGUCACCCGCUCGCUCGUGAUCCCGGUGGGUAAAAAUAGCCAGGGCAGAGGUGCCGGCGCCUGCGCCCGGGCAGGGACGAGAGGGGCGGCCGAGCCCCCUGAGCCGGGGGGAGGGCAAAGCCAGACCCCCUUCCUUGGCCAAAUUUAAAAAAAAGGCUGAAAAUCCCCUUUCAGCCCAGUUACUGAGGUGGGACAGGAUCCAGCAUCUCGGGAAUGGAGAUGUGACCUCCCCUUCAGGCCUUUUUUGAGGAGAGGAUGACACCCCCCCAAGGCCAAACCCUGCAGUGGCAUCAUCUCCACAGCUCAGCCCUGGCCCCAGCUAGGCCAGCAUGAGGCUGGCAGCACUAAUUAGGAGUUAGCAGGCACCAGGAUGCCUCUUCCCUAGGAAAAACAUCCUCUGGAAGACGCUGGUUUUCUUACAAGGGACAGAGACUGCUGCACCCCCCAAAAACUCCUUGGGAUGGGGGGAGACCAUGGACCCCAAAGUCUCCCCCAGUCCAUUGCAUGGAUGCCUCCUGCCCAAAUCCUUAACCCACUGUCAAAUAUUUGUUCAAGUGGUGACAGUCUUUAAAGCAAAGAGCCAAAACCCAAGGGCACAUCCCAGUCCAAGUCCUUUCCCAGGCUCUGGGAGAGGCAUUUAAACACAACUACAUGCCACACACAUGUCCAGAAGUGACUGAAACGAGUUCCUUGGGUUGCUGCCAGAGGGAAGAGCAGGGUGGUUGUUUUGCAUAUAGGGGAGUUUGGGAUAAAGCCAGUACAAAAGUAUAUUCCCCCCCCAGAUACACAACACUGGAAGGAUUUGGAGGUAAAAGGCGAUUUUUGUGCUUUUUUUCAGCUGCGACGUGGCAGGGGACGCCAGGCAGGAUGGGCAGAGCCCCUUCCCCUGCUCCCGCCGCUCACCAUCCCACGGGGCUUUUUAAAGGCUAAAGGAAAUGAGCUAUCACGUGUGCUUGUGAUAUUUUUGUUCCUGGUGAAAAGGGGGAAAUCCCUUUCCGGCUCCCCAGCACAGCCCGGUCCUGCCUGAUGCAUCCCAGCCCUGGCAGCAUCUGGAGCACAUUUUGUGCUGGUCCCCCCCGACCCGGGGCCUCCCGGAACUGCCCCCGACCACAGCGGGGGGGAAAACCCCCCCUCCAGCCCAGCUCAUGCGCGGUAAAAGAAGCCUUAAAUCCCAGCGGCUGGUUUGAGUCAUCAUUUUCCUAGCAGGAGCUGGCAGCUAUUUCCAUCUGCACUGGUCCUUACAGCCCCCAGCAGGCACAGGGCACCCACACAUCCACAUGUACCCCGGCAAUUUCCAUGCCCUCCCUGCCCAAUCCUAACCCAACCCGCCUCCACAAAUAAAACCCCACUGCAGGAGCACUUUGCACCAGAUUUUUGAUGUUUCCUUCUUAAAAUAACAAGGGAUUUCAGAAUUUCUCCUGUGGUGAGUAAGCCCAGCAACCCAGCCAUGCCACUAAAUAGCCUUCCACUCCCAAAUUCAUUCCCAGGAUCCUAAAUUGUCUCCUGGGUCCCCUGUGCUCAUCAAACACAAGUUUCUCUUUGAUUGCAGGAGAUAAUGAAAUGAGGCUAUUAAAAGGUCCCAGCAAAUUGCUCUGCUGCUUUUACAGCUGGAUGGUUUUUUCCAAUCAUACAAUCCUUCAUUUCAGGACGAGUGCUGGAGUGAUGUGACCGACAGCCCCAGGGCCUGGAGGAUGCCUGUCCCUUCCCCAUCAGCUGUAAUGCCACCAGGCACAUCCCCACCCAGCAUCUUAAGGCCCGAGCGCCGCCGGAGGUUGCAGCCCUGCGGGCAGAGCGCCGAGGAACGCGCCCCACUUGCCUCCACGUCAGCUCCUGUUAGCCUGGAAGGGACCAUACCCCGUCCCUCUGCAUCACGGGGCUUCCAGAGCCUGACCAAGGGCUGGCGAGAACAGCACAGGUGCCUGCAAGGACGUGGCCACACCACAGACAUGCUCCCCAGGACAGGCAGGGCCCCUGCUCCCAGUCCAUCACCACAGCACCCCGGGAGCCGCCGGCAGCACCCCGAGCGUCCCCGCUGGCUGCCAGGAAGGAACCACUCUCCCUCCACCACUGCUGCUCGUUUUACCAGCCUGGGCCCUUAAGGUUUGUGCCUGAUGCCUCACCAGGAAAAUAUGUGCAGGAGUGUGGGACGGGCGGAUGCUGCACCAGGGAGGUGCCGCCGCUGCUGCCGUUUGUGGCCCUUUGCCCUGGGAAGGUGAGCAGGGACAGGGGGCCCCACUGCACUUUCCUUUCCUCCACCCUGGGUCUCACCAGCACCGAGGCUGGGAGGCAGUGGAAAACCAAAGGCUUUCCUUUGGCUCUCCAGGGCUGGUUAAUGGGUGCUGUGACCCACAGCCGCCCCCUCUCCCCUGGGGCACAGCCCGAGCUGAGAACUGCAAACUUGGCUCACACUGUGGGUAAACCAGCCCAGGUUUGCUCUGCCUGCAGGCAACACCCAGAGGCCUUUGAUGUCAUUAGGGAAAUUGUACCUAUGAGAUUUUAUCACAGGGAAGUUAUGGGCCUCCCAGGCCAGAGGCCAUCAAUCCCAGCACAGCCCAGUUACAGCCAGCGACUCCCAUUAAAUGUAAAAUUAGAGCAGUUCCACUGGCGAGGGCCCCUGACUUCUCUCUGCUAGCUGGGGCUCUGCUCAGACACCUGGGGAGAAGGGGGAGCAUUUCCAGCUUCCUAAUUAGCCCAAUUACUGCUGCAGAUCAAAAAAGUCCUUUGGUGGGGACAUGGUGGCACCCGGAGCAAAGUGACUGCAGCUUGUUCUGGUUUCCCAAGAGCGGUUGUUGAGGGGGUUAUUUUAGAUCCCCAGCACUGAACCACCCCUCCAGUAAGAAAAAAAAAAUCCAUAUAUCACAGUGCAGAGAUACAGAUAGAUGAUACAAAUUUUUGUAUAUAUUUACCACUUAUCCAUGUGCAGUU
Long non-coding RNA from Pseudopipra pipra, 3404 nucleotides. RefSeq lists it as uncharacterized. NCBI's taxonomy places the organism in Eukaryota, Metazoa, Chordata, Aves, Passeriformes, Pipridae. The record is from RefSeq and is a predicted model, not a curated record. The transcript has 3 exons.